Molecule: ribosomal RNA, 429 nt
Filed under: uncultured bacterium
Lineage: Bacteria
Description: bacterial SSU rRNA
Rfam family: Bacterial small subunit ribosomal RNA
Source: RNAcentral
UAGGGAAUCUUCCACAAUGGGCGCAAGCCUGAUGGAGCAACACCGCGUGAGUGAAGAAGGGUUUCGGCUCGUAAAGCCCUGUUGUUGGAGAAGAACGUUCGUGAGAGUCACUGUUCCCGCAGUGACGGUAUCCAACCAGAAAGACACGGCUAACUAAGUGCCAGUGACCGCGGUAAUACGUAGGUGGCAAGCGUUAUCCGGAUUUAUUGGGCGUAAAGCGAGCGCAGGCGGUUGCUUAGGUCUGAUGUGAAAGCCUUCGGCUUAACCGAAGAAGUGCAUCGGAAACCGGGCGACUUGAGUGCAGAAGAGGACAGUGGAACUCCAUGUGUAGCGGUGGAAUGCGUAGAUAUAUGGAAGAACACCAGUGGCGAAGGCGGCUGUCUGGUCUGCAACUGACGCUGAGGCUCGAAAGCAUGGGUAGCGAACAGG